RNAcentral lists this long non-coding RNA (873 nucleotides) under Salmo salar (Atlantic salmon). RNAcentral's name for it is "lncRNA (ENSSSAG00000114355.1)". The record is from RNAcentral. Lineage: Eukaryota; Metazoa; Chordata; Actinopteri; Salmoniformes; Salmonidae.
UUUUAUUUUUUACCUUUAUUUUAUUAGGCAAGUGAGUUAAGAACAAAUUCUUAUUUACAAUGACGGUCUAGGAACAGUGGGUUAACUGCCGUGUUCAGAGGUACAACGACAGAUUUUUACCUUGUCAGCUUGGGGAUUAGAUCUUGCAACCUUUCAGAUACUAGUCCAACGCUCUAACCACUAGGCUACCUGCUCUAACCACUAGGCUACCUGCUCUAACCACUAGGCUACCUGCUCUAACCACUAGGCUACCUGCUCUAACCACUAGGCUACAUGUCUCUAACCACUAGGCUACCUGCUCUAACCACUAGGCUACCUGCUCUAACCACUAGGCUACCUGCUCUAACCACUAGGCUACCUGCUCUAACCACUAGGCUACCUGGAUCUAACCACUAGGCUACCUGCUCUAACCACUAGGCUACCUGGCUCUAACCACUAGGCUACCUGCCGCCCCAUAUAUGAGAGGAGAUGGGAGGAGGAUAAUUGUACAAUACAGGUACCAUUCACUAAUGUCAUUACUUAUACCCGGAAAAUAUGAGGGGUAAGUGGAGAUAAUAUGAGAGGUAGGUGGAGAUAAUAUGAGAGGUAGGUGGAGAUAAUAUGAGGGGUAGGUAGAGAUAAUAUGAGGGGUAGGUAGAGAUAAUAUGAGGGGUAGGUGGAGAUAUUAUGUGGGGUAGGUAGAGAUAAUAUGAAAGUGUAAUUUCAUAGCAUGAAUGAUUUAAUCUCCCAAAGCCUGAUUUUUCCUGACAGUUGGCUCCGAUGUCUCGCUCCAUUAUGCAUGUCAUUUUGAUUCCUCCAACUGGGUCGCUGCUCGGCUCUAUCAGACCAAAGUGUUUGAAAUUGUCAGCAAGAGAAAGGCGUUGGUUCUCUCUG